This 86-nucleotide signal recognition particle RNA is filed under the name Clostridiales bacterium CHKCI006. RNAcentral's name for it is "Bacterial small signal recognition particle RNA". It matches the Rfam family "Bacterial small signal recognition particle RNA". From Rfam's summary of the family: The signal recognition particle (SRP) is a universally conserved ribonucleoprotein involved in the co-translational targeting of proteins to membranes. Archaeal SRP consists of a 7S RNA and homologues of the eukaryotic SRP19 and SRP54 proteins. Lineage: Bacteria; Bacillati; Bacillota; Clostridia; Eubacteriales. RNAcentral also lists the same sequence under 1 other name. The record is from Rfam by way of RNAcentral.
UCGCCACUACAAUAGCAGGCUUCGAACCAUGUCAGGACCGGAAGGUAGCAGCAUUAAGAAUCCCCUGUUAUGUGUAGUGGUAUUUU